RNAcentral lists this ribosomal RNA (510 nucleotides) under uncultured bacterium. RNAcentral's name for it is "partial 16S ribosomal RNA". It matches the Rfam family "Bacterial small subunit ribosomal RNA", at positions 28 to 507 of the family's 1533-position model. The record is from RNAcentral.
GACGAACGCUGGCGGCGUGCUUAACACAUGCAAGUCGAACGAAGAGCGAUGGAAGCUUGCUUCUAUCACUCUUAGUGGCGAACGGGUGAGUAACGCGUAAUCAACCUGCCCUUCAGAGGGGGACAACAGUUGGAAACGACUGCUAAUACCGCAUACGAUCUAACCUCGGCAUCGAGGAAAGAUGAAAGGUGGCCUCUAUGUAUAAGCUAUCACUGAAGGAGGGGAUUGCGUCUGAUUAGCUAGUUGGAGGGGUAACGGCCCACCAAGGCGAUGAUCAGUAGCCGGUCUGAGAGGAUGAACGGCCACAUUGGGACUGAGACACGGCCCAGACUCCUACGGGAGGCAGCAGUGGGGAAUCUUCCGCAAUGGACGAAAGUCUGACGGAGCAACGCCGCGUGAGUGAUGACGGCCUUCGGGUUGUAAAGCUCUGUUAAUCGGGACGAAAGGCCUUCUUGCGAAUAGUUAGGAGGAUUGACGGUACCGGAAGAGAAAGCCACGGCUAACUACGUG